CUUACUAGAAAUAUAAUUUAAAAAAUUGUAGUACUCUACUUUUGGAGCCUCUUCGGAGUUGAGUGUUGUAAAACAUGCUAUUUUAUUUCUUAUUUAAAUCACUCCUGUCGGGAAACAACCUUUAAAUCUGUUAACUGAAUUCCACCAUCUAGUCAUUGGAAAACAAUCUCACAUUCAUCAAAUUGAAAGUUAGUUGGUUGGAUUUGAAGGAAAACAGCCGCAAUCUCCUCUCUAAUCCUCAAAUCGCACAACGUCAGGUAUGAAAUCCCCGAACUCUUCUCUGUAUUACAAAAUUUAUGAAGUGAAUAUUUUUCCUAAUCACAACAUCUAUGCAUAUUAGAAGGAAAAUAAUCAGGCAAACUUAUUUCCCAUAAGAUGUUUGCUCAAUUGCCUAAAUGAGUCCCUUUGCUGUGUGAAUGAUCUUUUAGUGGAAUUCUGAAUCAGUAUGGUUGAGAUCUAUUUGUUUACAUUGUUAAAUGGGGAAUCAUGAUACAGUUUGAGUGUAAUUGAGAUCAGUUGUACUGAGCCUUAAAAGAAUCUUAACAACUGAACUUUUUUUUUCGUGCUUUGAAAUCUGAAAAAUUGAACUUCGAGUAGGUGAAUUUUGUGCAUGAUUUUUUGUAAACUUUCAUAAGAAGGUACAAUACUCUAAGAUGGGGGUGAGGUUUGGUGUAUUUUCUGAUGUGAAUUCUCUCAUUGUGUGAAGUUUCCUUUCCUGAAAUUCUGAAUUAUUAGUAUCGACUUGUUAGAUUGCAGUGAUAGUAGGGCAUAAUUGGGGGUGACCUCCUAGCUGUUAGAAAUAUCUGUCGUAAAAUUUGAUGGUUUGCCGUCUAAAAAGUUUUGCGAUGCAUGUAUUUCUGAUGGUCUCUUUCCCGCCGAUAAUUCAUAUACUCUUCUGAUGACUUUUCGGCAGAUAUGACCGUAAGAAUUUCGUGUAAUUCCAAUAUUGUUGCUCAACCUAGAUUGGCCGUCGGAAUUUCGCGUACUUCCAGUAGUGUUGCUCAACUUAGACGUCAAGUUAAGAGGGGAGAAGUAUACCCUCAAUUCUCUAUGUUAUGAAAGAAUUUUAAGUACUUGCUCAAGAUGCAAUAAGUUUAAGUUGCAUCUUGAUCUUCUUUAAUCUCCUAUGACAUCUUUCAUGUCAAUCCUUCCUUAUGGAGAUUUGACACAAAAAUCGAAGCUAAUCAAUAUCCUAAUUAUAAUUACAACAACAACAACAACAACAACAAUAACAACAAUUACUAUGCCUCAGUCCCAAUCAAGAUCCUAACUGUAGCAGAUUUAUUAAAAGAACUGGGCAAAUAGAUUUAACAAAAGGAAAAGUCCCGCCUUGCCUACAAAUAGAUGUUAUGAAUCAAACCAAACUAUAGCCUAUUUGAGGCUAAAUAUUAUUGCAAACAUUUGUUACACACGAGAUGAUUUGGAAGAGAAGAUUCUUAUAAGAAUUUGCUCAACAUGCAAGAAGUUGAGUCUUGAUCGUGUUUAACCUCGCUACAACAUCUUUCAUGUCAAUCCUUCCUUUAGGAGAUUUAACACAACAAUCUAUUGCCACUUUCAUGAUGGAAACCACACAGUCUAACUUUUUCAUUAAGUGAUUAUCCUGUGGCUUUAUUAAGUUGGCAUCGACAAUUUCCAUUACUGCAUGUGAGAAUGAGUUGCUCACCCAUUGCUUCAAGCUAAGAUCUUCAUCAAACAUUUCAUCAUUAGGCUUUGUCCUUGUAAAUGUUUCCAUUAACAUGAUUCCAUAACUAUAAACAUCGCCUUUUGUUGACACCAAUCCCUCUAGUCCAUACUCUGUAAUCAGUCAAUUUUUAAAUUCAGCAUUUACCGGUGGGAAAGAGAAAUAUUCAAAAGCAAUUAACAGAUUGCUUACCUGGUGCAAUAUAACCUAAUGUAGCUAAAGUUUUUGUGAAUGAAGCACUCUCAUCGUCAGAAAGCAGUUUUGAAAUGCCAAAGUCACUUAGGUGGGCAACCAUGUCCUCAUCCAACAAGAUGUUACUAGGCUUCAAAUCACAGUGAAUCACGGGCAAUGAGCAGCCAUGGUGGAGAUAUUCCAAGGCACAUGCCACAUCUAUCAUUAUACCUAGUCUAUGCUUGAUGUCUAAGAAGUAGUUGUGCGAAUACAACCACUUAUCCAGGCUCCCGUUAGGCAUGUACUCAAGUAUCAAAGCCUUAAAUUCAUGGUUGGAACAACUAGUGAUGACUUUGGUGAGAUUCCUAUGGAGAAUGUUGCGCAAAACUUGGCAUUCUGUAUCAAAAUUCCUAAAUGCUGCUUGCAAUUGCAGAUUGAACACUUUAGCUGCAAUAGGAGUCCCAUCUCUGAGGAUGCCUUUGUAAACAGAGCUGAAGCUCCCAGAACCAAUCAAAUUGCUCUCGUUGAGCGAAUCAGUUGCUUGGAGCAAUUCAUAGUAUGAAAUUCGUUCUCUUGUUGAGACGUCAUACGAUGAUUCAGCUGUUUGCUGAGGAUCAAGUUUUUUGCCUCUUAUGUACCUUAUCCAUACAAGCACAAACGCGAUAGGCAUUAAUACAACAAGUGGAAUUCCGAUCAGUAGAAUUAGAACAAGUACUUUUUUCCUCUUGGAUCUAUGCUUUGCAGUAUUAGUGGGGCAUGGCAGAACACGAAAUCUCGGAGAACCACAAAAUGCUUCAUUGAACAUGAAAGACUGACUGGAGAGGUUCUUGAACGGACCGCCCGAGGGGAUUUCACCAACCAACUUGUUGAAAGAAACAUCAAAAUACUUAAGAUUUUGAAGCUUCUCCAAUGACUUUGGAAUUAAUCCUGAAACAUUGUUAUGAGAAAGGUCUAGAAAUUCCAAAGCCGACAUGCUGCUCAUUGAGUCAGGUAUUGAUCCUUGCAAUUUAUUGUCUCUCAAAGACAGGUGUAUUAGAUUUUGCAAGCUACCAAUUCCUCCAGGAAUGCCAUUUGAGAGUGUAUUCAUUGAUAGAUCAAUAUAUAUCACGGCUUUUAGAUUUCCGAUUUCCGGAGGUAAAGAGCCACCCAAGUUGUUUGAAGAUAAGUCUAGCUUCAAGAGAUUUAUUAGGUUCCCUAUGCUUGCUGGUAUGUCUGAACGGUAUUUGUUGGAACCUAGAAAUAACUCCUGAAGGGAAGUUAAGUUCCCUAUACAAUUAGGAAGAGAUCCUGAAAGUUGAUUUUGGGUCAAGUGUAAAUAACCCAAGUUCUGCAAUUUACAUAGAUCGAUUUGAGUAAAUCCAGAAAGUUUAUUGUGACUCAACUUACAACUCUGAAGGAAUCUCAAGUUGCUAAUUGUUGUGGGAAUUGAUCCAGCUAAGCCAUUUUCAGAAAGAUCAAGCUCUAAUAAGCUACUUAAGUUCCCAAUUCCUUUUGGAAGUUCCCCUUUAAUUCUGCAAUCAGUAGCUCUAAACCUUAGAAGAGAAGUGACAGAAAGGUUCCCUAGUGAGGCUGGAAGCACACCAUAUAGAGGGUUUGAAGAUAGAAAAAGAAAUUUUAAAUCUCUACAAUUUGACAAGGAAGUCAAGAAGCUUAACCUAGUGUCGCUCAUUAAAUUGUUUACAUCCAAGCCUAGGGACUGUAUACGAGUCAAAAGACCGAGGGAGUUGGGAAUCAAACCGGUGAGUCUAUUGAAAGAAAGGUCUAGACUAGUCAGUUUGGAACAAUUGGAGAGAGAAUGAGGUAUAGUCCCAGAAAGAUUUAAGUUGCUCAGACGAAGAACUUCAAUGUUGGGUAACGUAGAACCUAUGUCUAAUGGGAGGGUUCCUGUCAGAUUAUUGAAUAUAAGUUGAAUCUCUCUCAUCCCUGAUAUGUUGAAGAUCUCCAUUGGUAUUGAACCAGUAAACUUGUUGAAACUCAGAUCAAACAACUCAAUGAGAUUGCUUACUUCUUUUGGUAUUUCACCUGCCAAUGUAUAUAUGUAUGUAUAAUUAGUAAUUAAGAUUUAAGGAAUAUCUUGCUAGUAAUGAUUUAACGUAGUUUGUUAAGUUCACUCUAGCAAGCUAUAUAAUAGCUGCAAUAUCUUAGUAAUUAAUUUCCAUACCCCUUUUGACUACGUACAUACCUGUAAGCAUAUUGUCAGCAAGAUCUAGAAUUUGCAAUUUGGUCAAAUUGCCAACCUCCCUUGGAAAGGAUCCAAUAAGAUUGUUGUGAGCUAGUACCAAAACCUGCAGCGAGGAGAUAUUGAAUGUGGAGACUGGGAUUCGACCAGAAAUAUGGUUUGUCUCCAGCCCUAAAAUCACCAAAUUAUUAAGAAUCCCGAUUUCACUAUGUAUGGGUCCAUCAAACUUGUUAUAAGAUAAAGACAAUAGUUGAAGGUUUGAACAGUUUGGCAAGCUUAGAGGCAUAUGACCGCGUAGCUCGUUCUUACUUAGAUAAAGCUUUUCGAGCAUUGGAAUAUAAUCACACAUGGCAGCAGGUAGAUUUCCUGAUAAGGUAUUUUUUGUAAAUGCAAUGACUUCAAUUCCAGAAAUGUUGAAGAUCGAGAAUGGUAUAGAACCUGUAAGUUGAUUUGAUUCUAUUGACAAUAUUUUUAGGGUUUGAAGUCUUCCAAUCUCUUCUGGGAUGUUUCCUUCAAGGAAAUUUUGAGAAAGUUCUAAAGUCAUCAACAUUGAGGCAUUCGAGAGAGACAGAGGGAUAGAACCGGUAAACUUGUUUCCACCUAAACUUAAAAACCUUAGAUUUUCAAUAUUUCCAAUCUCUUCUGGGAUGUGGCCCUCUAAGGAAUUGCAUGUCAAAUCCAAAGUUUGAAGCGUGGAAAUAUUAGAAAAUAAAGAGGGGAUGGAACCACUAAAACUAUUAUUCCUUAGAGUUAGAACUUGAAGUUGGUGUAAGACCCCGAACCAGGAAGGAACCUCCCCGCUAAAGUUGUUAAAACCAAGUCUAACAAACCUUAACCGAUGCAAACGUGCCAUUUCUUGAGGCAAAUUGCCAUAGAAAUUGUUGCUACCCAAGUCGAGAGAAACAAGAAAUGUGAGAUUUCCGAAAUUAGGGGGAAUUCUGCCUGUAAGAGCCAUGUUGGAAAUGUUCAAUGACUUCACUCUAUGGUGGCGAGGACCACAUGUGACUCCAAUCCAAUCGGAAAUAGGAGUGGCUGGAGACCAACUUUCAUAUAACAAGUGAAAAGGAUCUGCAAUGAUUUGGGAUUUCAAAGAAAGAAGAGCUAAUUGAUCAGUGGUAAUGUUGGUGUGACUCAUGGCUAAACUAGCCACAACCAAGUGAAAGAACAAGAGAAAAGAGGUGAAGGCUUUCUCCAUUAGUACUUUAGAAAUUAGAAAGAAGUAGGCGUGGCUAUGUACAAUGGGCAAUGAGACUUUAAAUAUAAGUUGAUCUCCUUGGUAUCUUCUGCGGAUGUUUUAGUUCUCGUUAUCCUCUCCUUAUUUAGCAACCACAGCAAUCCUUUUCCUUGAGUGUCCCCAAAGACUUGACUCUAAACUCUUGUUGGAGUAAGUAGAGGUGCAAAGUCUGGCUAUGCAUUAUUCUCAAUCGUCCUCACACGGAAAAGAAAUUAAAUUGGACAAUACCGGGUGGGGGUGGGGUGAGGAAUAAAGAAAGAAGAGUUCAGAAUGAUAUAACACCAAAGAUUUCAUUAGCUUUUUCGAUAUUGCUUACUAAAUUUCGAAAAGGAGGAGGAUAAUUAUAUUAUACCUUAGAAGAUGUUUUUAUUUUGUUCAUUUUUCCAGAAGUACGUUGAAGCUUAAAUCCACUGCAUGCACGGUUCUUAAUAGAAAUUUAUAAGAUGUAAGUUUGAUGACCACUUAAUCAUUUCAGAUUCCAGACAAAGAGACCACAAGUUUUUGCUUCUAAUCUAAUUAAAGAAAGCAUCAGUUGGUUCCCCAAUAUUAUCGAGUUAAGAAAAGGACUGUCAGUGAGAUGAUACAUGGACUAGUAGAAAAUUUUAAGAGGGUAUUGUGCAUCAGGCUCAAGAAACUAUGAUUUCCCUAAUAAUCGAGUUUAACAAGCACGUAGUUAUCUUUUGAAUGACUAGAUAGUUGUAUAAAUUAAAGGGAUCUCCGUAUUUAACAAGCACAUCAACCCCCUUUCUUUGAGAGGUCCCAACUCCCAAAGACUUGACUGAUGUGAGUAAGGUCUUGCUUUUUAUGUUUUCUUUUCAAAGAGAAAGACUUUGAUCAAAUCCAAGUCUUCUUCCGCAAAAGCAGUCUGGAAACUUGGUGUUAUUCAAAGAACCUUCAAACACAAUGGGAUGAAUAUGUACGUUGGGCGUAUCCGAAGAGUACAUCGGUCCCUUAAUGUGCAAGUCUUGCGAGACGAGAGCUCCAGGCGUCUGCCAGAGGCGGAUUUAGGAUAUGAGGUUUACAAGAGUUACUAGGUUUCCGAGAACCCAUAUUCGAUGCUCUAGGUCAGGCCCUGGCGUCUCCAAUGACGUUGUACGAGUGCCUAAUUACCCGGUGCGAGCACUGAUUCUUAUUUUUUUAAAAACAUUGAUCUAUGUUCGUUGUUUAGUCGGUGUAGAAUCUAUGGAAUUCAAGUUUGCAGAUCGCCUCUAAAGAAAAAACAGAUAGAAUUCUUUUGUUAUUUUCCAAACACAUGACUAGUAUUAGGCUAGCUGCGUUCACUUUUUAAUACCAAUUUCAUAAAUAAAUAGAAUGGCAGUGAAAGACACCUAAAUUUCUGCAUUAUAUUAUUACAGGGACUCUCUUCUUGAUUUGUGGGGUUUACUUAUCUUUAGGAAGGGCUUAGUUUAUGGGUGUUUGAGAUUCGGAGGAUAAUUGUAGUACCUAGAUUAUGGCUCAACCUAGAGAUUAUUAGUCCUUCAUCAAUCAAAUUAAGUAGUUGGUUUUCUUCCACAUCCUUAAACUACAGACAGGAGACUGCUUUAGAAGCCUAUUCUAGAAAAGCUCAAGCGUACUCUUUUAUUGUAUAUAUGGUAAAUGAUUCUUAUGGGACGAUAAAGAAAUGAAAAAAUGCAUUUUAUACAAUGAAUCUUCAACGUUUUUGUCCAGUCAGAUUAAUGUCCAAACACAAAUUUUAAACUUUCAAAUACUUUUUUGUUCAACUUAAAAUUCACAUAAUACCCCCUCCGUUUCAAAUUAGACGAGAUACUUUCCUUUUUAGUCUAUUCUAAAAUAAAUGACAUAUUUCUAAAUUUGGAAAUAAUUUAACUUUAAACUCUUCAUUUACCUAUUUUACCCUUAAUGAGAAACUUUUAUUUAGUGGAUUAAUUCUGAUAAGUGAAUUCCACCGUCUGUCAUUGGAAAACAAUCUCACAUUAUGUGUUUUUUUAAUUGCAUUAUUACAUCACUAAAAUACCAAAAAUACAUUAGUCACUUUACAUGCAUUGUUAGUUAAUUAAAUAGUCAAUUGUUAAAUUAAAAUAGGUAAGUAGGUUAAUUUUGCAAAUUAGUUUGAAUUAGGUGUGUUAAAUAAAAAUGGUUAAAAUUGAAAGUUAAAGGGAAGGAAGAAAGAAAGGAAAAUGGGUUGCUAUGUUGACAUUCCAAUUGGGCCAAACACUUCAGCAGCUCAGUCUAUAAAAUCCACGGCCAAUUCACCCCAGACCCGGUCCACUUCGCCUGGUCUCCAAAAGACUACCAAACGACCCCGUUUUGGACCAGGGCAAUCUCAGCCAUCCUUCAAACCCCAUCCAACGGCCCUGAAUUAACCCCCAUUUUAUAUAAAACUCUCUUAAACCAGCCCCGCCAAAGACUCUCUCACACGCCCAAACGCCUCUCAUCUAUCCUCACUGUGUAUCAGCCGUUUGCCGCCGCCGAAAAUCGUCCACGGCGGCGGCCAACCUCUAAACAUCCCCAAAAUUUCAAAUACAACCUCCUCCUCCUCCUCUUUCACAAUCUCUAGCUAUUUUCUUCUAAAAACCCCUUAAGCAUCACGAAUAGUAGAUCUAAGAAGGCCGGAAAAAACCCUAAAUCUGUCCUUUUCUGAUUUCUCCUCAAUCUCGGCCCGUUUGAACUCGAAACCUACAUCAAUUGAUUGCUCUUGAUUAGAGCGAUCAAUUGAUGUUAGUAUUGGUUCAUUUCACGGCCACCAGAAUCUGGUCCCCCAUAUUGCUUCGAUUGUUUUCUCCGACUCGUUGGAUUUUCUGUGUUAAACGCCGUCUGAAUUAGAAGGUAUAUCCUCCUUGCCGUCUCUUUCAUGUUCCCAUUAUUUCAGUUUUCUCGUGUCUUUGAUUGAUUGUUUGAGCAUAAUUAUUUUUAGUGAUUGCAUACAUGUGUGUCACUCCGAUUUUUUGAUUGUUUCACCACAUGAAUAAGUGUCAAUGGGUAUUAUCAUGUAUCUCAGUUCCAUUGAAAUCUUUGGAUUCAUUUGAUUAUGGAUUUUAGUCUUUUAGAUGAUCAGACUUAGUUUAUGUUGAAUUGAUUUUGCGAUUUUAUUAGUGAUGCACAUGUCUCAUAUGGUUCGGUUGGUUUUGUUUUGGAUUUGGGAGUGUGGUGGUGGGCUAGGAACAAGGCCCAGAUGUAGGCCCAACUCAAGUGGACUUUAGGAGCAAUUAGGAGAAGAAGUAAAAUCUGGAAAAUUGGUAAAUAACAGUAAAUACAGGGGUUAAUUGGGGAAGUUCAAUUAAAAGAAUCUUUUGGUAAAUGAUUUAGGAAGCUUCUAAAAAGGACUAAAGUGCAACGAAAGGGAAAGAAAAGGGGGUCGGGUGCUGGUCUUAGAGGGUAAAUAACAGAAAAGAAAGGAGGAAAAAAUAAGGAAAGAAUAAUAUGAAAAACAACUGUACAAAAAUAUGUAAAAUGCCUUUUCCCCACAUUUUCUAUAUAUUCUCUCAUUUUGCAUAUCACAAGGACACUUUUCAUUUUGCAUUUUUCAGAGAAUACACAUUCCUCUUUGUUUACCCGAAAAACGGAUAGGGUUGAAUUUAUACGUGGUUCUAGGGACACGUGGUAUAAAUUGGUACAAACCAGAAAGAUAAGUAGAAAUAUAUCGAAUGUUUAUUGCAAAAAAUGAAUGAAAUACAAACCAAAUUGAUUAGAGAAUGAUUUAUAAACGAGCAAGAUGAAUUAAUGUCCAAAGCUCAAAAAAAGAUAAUCUCUCUCUAUAUCUCUGUUUUUGAAAUGGUUUAUGGCCCGGUCACUUAAAAAUUCUCGAAGAUGCCUUUUAUUGAAUAACCGGGCUACCUCCUCUCAGUUGCCUGCAAUCUUCCGUUCUGUGGCCAUGAGUGCCAUACUAUUCGCACAUUUGAUUGGGAUUCCUCUGGGCUGGAUCGGUCUGCAGAGGUCGGGGCCACUUAGUAUCUUUGAUGCGUCCGAUAGCUGACACGAUGGCGGAUGCAUCGAUGUUGAAGUUAUAUUCUGAUAGCCGUGGUGCUUCCUUAGGUCCGGUAUGCCUGUCGAACCCAUUCCUGUUCAUCAGCCCUCGAGACCCUUGGCCUCGAUCACUUCUUUUAUUUCUUUGUACGGGGUCACGUCUUGGUUCGCUACCCCUAUAAUCUCCACUAUACGACCGGUAUCGGUCCCUGAUCGGCCUUGGUUCGCGGUUGAUGUCCCUUUUAAUAACGGACCCAGAACCCGACUGGUCGUCUUCGACUCUAAUCUUCGAUUGAUACCGAUUGUGUACAUCGGCCCAGGCAACAGCUGGGUACUCUAUUAGGUUCUGCUUCAACCGUUGUGAAACUAUCGAGCUUCGUUCGUUCAGACCUUGAGUGAAAGCUUGAACAGCCCAAUCGUCUGUGACUGGUGGUAGGUCCAUUCGUUCCAUUUGGAAACGGGAUACGAAUUCUCUUAGCAUCGCGUUAUCUUUUUGUCUUACCUUGAAAAGGUCUGACUUCUUGGUCUCGACCUUUAUGACUACUACACGUGCUUUUACGAAAGAAUCUGCAAGCAUAGCAAAAGAAUCGAUAGAGUUAGACGGUAAAUUAUGAUACCAUGUUAUUGCUCCUUUUGACAGGGUUUCACCAAUUUUUUUCUAUAAUACGGAUUCGAUCUCGUCGUCUUCUAAAUCAUUUCCUUUAAUGGCACAUGUGUAAGAGGUGACGUGUUCGUUGGAGUUGGUCGUUCCAUUAUAUUUAGGAAUUUCGGGCAUGCGGAACUUCUUGGGGAUCAGUUUUGGAGCUGAGCUCGGGGGGAAGGGCUUUUGUACGAAUUUUUUGGAAUCCAAGACCUUCAAUAUUGGUGGUGCCCUCGGGAUCUGAUCAACCCUGGAAUUAUAAAUUUUCACUUUUUUGUCAUUUGCUUCAAUCCUCCUCUCUUCUGACUCUGUUCGUUUUGUCAGUUCCUCGAGCAUCUUAACAAUUUUGGGAUGUGUCCCCGAUUCUUGCUCAUUUGACCUUACUACAGCUGGCCUUGUUGUGUGGGUGACUUCUCGGGGUGGACUAGGCUCGGGCCUGCUCGGUGCCUAGGUUUGGCUCUGCAACUGAGCUAUCGCUACCUGUUGAGCUUGCAACAUUUCGAAAAUCAUACGCGAGCUGAUUCCGUUUUCCUCAACGUUUUGGGUAUUUCGAGUUGCAGAUCGAGUUCCACCAUGAAUGCUAUUUUCAGGGUCGGAACGUUGGUUUGCCUCGAUGGCCACAUGUGAAUUAACGUCUACUGGCUCUUUGACACGAGCUCCAACGGGAUCGACGAGUGGCCUUUCAUCUCCGGGCGUCAAGUUGCUGUUCUCAUCUUGAAUGCCAGUUUCGUUGUCGAUAGGUAGGGCCAUUAAUAGAGAAUUCGUCGUUUUCAACCUGAAAUUAAAGAUACUUCCAAGAACAAGUGAAAAAAUAGUGUGUUUCAGAGAGGUUCGUACCAAAUAGUCACUAUUAUCCUUAGCCCCACGGUGGACGCCAAACUGUUUACCCGAAAAACGGAUAAGGUUGAAUUUAUACGUGGUUCUAAGGACACGUGGUAUAAAUUGGUACAAACCGGGAAGAUAAGUAGAAAUAUAUUGAAUGUUUAUUGCAAAAAGGAAUGAAAUACAAAUCAAAUUGAUUAGAGAAUGAUUUAUAAACGUGCAAGAUGAAUCAAUGUCUAAAGCUCAAAAAAUGAUAAUCUCUCUAUAUAUCGGUGUAAUAAUCUUUGAAAUGUGAGAGUGUAUCAAUGUAUGCUUCUCUAGAUGUUCAAUUUCCCUUUAUAGAAAUAAUACCCACUCUUAAUAUAGUGGAGGAAUCCUACUUGGGGUAUAAUAAAAAAUACAUAGUGGGGAUCCCAUGAUAGAUUAAUUGAUUAACUUUUCCUCGAUUCCCGUCGAGAUUCUCUCCCUGGUACGGCUACAACAACUCUUUGUCUCUUAGCUCGAUCUUGGCCGGUAUCGGUCGAUCUCUGGAUCUCGAGCUCGAUAUUGACUCGAGCUCGGUAUUGAUCGGUCUCUGACUCUUGAGCUCGAUAACACUACUUCAUGUCAUAACUCGAUAUUGACUCGAGCUCGGUAUCUUGAGCUCGACAACCUGACUUUACUUAUAAUCUCGAUGUUACAAUGACGACCCUUGGUUCAUCAUGUUCUAAUAUCGACUAAUUACACGAAGAGCAAACUCGGAUUUGACCGUAUACACUCUCCUCUCCUCAUUCACUCUUACACAUGCAAAAAGCCCUAGUAGCAGCUGUAAUUUUAGAUUCCAGAUCUGAAUUUUAAAUGCUGCAAAAAACUCUCCAAAACAGAAUCAAAACAUUAAAAAAAAAGAUUUGAAAAGCUGGUAUGAUUUCUGCUGCUUUGUUUCAAUAAUUUCUGGUUGCUCGAGUUGAUUUGGGACUUAAAAUUGAAGCUGUGGUGCUUGUUAUGCAUUGCUGAACUUUUCUCAUCCUUAUUCUGCCUUUAUUUGGCUGGUAUUCUGUUCUGUUUCCUGUUGCGCAUUAGGUACACACCAAAACCCCUUUUGUACUCAUUUUGAUCUAUAUGACUAAUUACUUAAAUCAUCUCUGAAUCUGUGUAUGAGUUCAGUUAUUUAGAUUCUUGUGUUUAUGAGUUUUAACAUGCUCUUAUGUUUGAUUUACAUCUUCUGAUUCCAUGUGAAUUAAUGAAAUCAUGCUCAUUAUAGAAUGAUUUAAUUGAUAGUAAUGAAAUUACAGUGAUUGUAUUUGGAUUGUUCAAAUGUUCAGUAUGCACAGCUGUUUCUCUGGGCUAAUUGAAGCAGCCACUUAUGGAGGGUUUCAAAUCACAAUUUGAUGUACUAAUUUAGCUUUGUAAUUCUGAAAAUGAUCAGUGUUGAUGACUGAGAAUAGUUUAUAGUUAUUUUCAUUUGGUAAUAAUGUGUGUGAGUUAUAUGAAAAAUAAUGGAGUUUUAGAUGGCAUGAAAACUCGUUGGUUUGAACAGUAGUUAAUAUCAAAAUUCUUUUUAAUUUCAUGUAAUAAUGAGUUAACAAAAGGAUUUCGAGCUUUGAUAAUCAUGAACUAAUAUUGGAAGUAGUUAUAGUUAAUUUUUGAG
Molecule: long non-coding RNA, 12278 nt
Filed under: Nicotiana tabacum (common tobacco)
Lineage: Eukaryota; Viridiplantae; Streptophyta; Magnoliopsida; Solanales; Solanaceae
Description: long non-coding RNA (NTAB_LNC002496)
Source: RNAcentral